RNAcentral lists this long non-coding RNA (267 nucleotides) under Bos taurus (domestic cattle). RNAcentral describes it as "long non-coding RNA NONBTAT009589". Lineage: Eukaryota; Metazoa; Chordata; Mammalia; Artiodactyla; Bovidae. The record is from RNAcentral.
AAUUAAUCUGUGAGAAAGGGAUUAUUGCUAGAAUCAGAGUAAAUGUGUGUGGCUUCCAACAGUUUGAGAUAACUGGACAUCACUGAUGACUCUUUAAACUUAAGACAAAGGAAAGAACCUAUAUGACCUGAUCUCUGUUCAAUCCUCUUUAAAUAAACAUGAAAAUACCUUCUUGGGUUCUAAGUAUCUUGGUAAGGAUUCCCAGCAUUAUAAGUUUUUAUUUUUACAAUGAUUCAUUUAAUCCUCCUUUUAAAACAAGUGUUUUAC